Molecule: ribosomal RNA, 576 nt
Filed under: Pyrenophora tritici-repentis
Lineage: Eukaryota; Fungi; Ascomycota; Dothideomycetes; Pleosporales; Pleosporaceae
Description: eukaryotic LSU rRNA
Rfam family: 5.8S ribosomal RNA (bases 226-379)
Source: RNAcentral
AAGUCGUAACAAGGUCUCCGUAGGUGAACCUGCGGAGGGAUCAUUACACAAAUAUGAAGCCGGACUGGGAUAGGGCCUCGCUGCCUUGCCCGUCUGGCGCCAUAUUCACCCAUGUCUUUUUGCGUACUACUUGUUUCCUUGGCGGGUCCGCCCGCCAAUUGGACCUUAUUCAAACCUUUUUUUUCAGUUGCAAUCAGCGUCAGCAAAACAAAUGUAAUCAAUUACAACUUUCAACAACGGAUCUCUUGGUUCUGGCAUCGAUGAAGAACGCAGCGAAAUGCGAUAAGUAGUGUGAAUUGCAGAAUUCAGUGAAUCAUCGAAUCUUUGAACGCACAUUGCGCCCUUUGGUAUUCCAAAGGGCAUGCCUGUUCGAGCGUCAUUUGUACCCUCAAGCUUUGCUUGGUGUUGGGCGUCUUGUCUCUCUCCCGAGACUCGCCUUAAAAUCAUUGGCAGCCGGCCUACUGGUUUCGGAGCGCAGCACAUUAUUUGCGCUCUUGUCCAGCCGCGGUCGCGCGUCCAUGAAGCUUCUUUCAACCUUUUGACCUCGGAUCAGGUAGGGAUACCCGCUGAACUUAA